RNAcentral lists this ribosomal RNA (253 nucleotides) under uncultured bacterium. Its description in RNAcentral is "partial 16S ribosomal RNA". It matches the Rfam family "Bacterial small subunit ribosomal RNA", at positions 524 to 776 of the family's 1533-position model. The record is from RNAcentral.
UACGGAGGGUGCGAGCGUUAUCCGGAUUCACUGGGUUUAAAGGGUGCGUAGGUGGGUCUGUAAGUCAGUGGUGAAAUCUCCGGGCUUAACCCGGAAACUGCCAUUGAUACUAUAGGUCUUGAAUCUUCUGGAGGUCAGCGGAAUAUGUCAUGUAGCGGUGAAAUGCUUAGAUAUGACAUAGAACACCAAUUGCGAAGGCAGCUGACUACAGAGGCAUUGACACUGAGGCACGAAAGCGUGGGGAUCAAACAGG